RNAcentral lists this small RNA (1044 nucleotides) under Vigna angularis var. angularis. RNAcentral describes it as "Non-protein coding transcript". Lineage: Eukaryota; Viridiplantae; Streptophyta; Magnoliopsida; Fabales; Fabaceae. The record is from RNAcentral.
AAAUUAACUAAAAUAGAGCCGUUGGUUGCCUCAGUCAUCAGUUAUCUUUUUCAUAUCCGUAAAAUCCCUAAUUAGGUUUCAAUUCCCAUUUUUUUUGCAGCUUCGACCCUUCGCACAAUUGCACAAUCGAUUAGCUCUACAAACAGGACGUAUAACCCUUCUGCGUCAGAACUUACAUUUCCUCUGACUUGUUGGAGUAUUGCUAGAUCAGGGAGAAAGAAACUUCAAUGGAACAAUGGUUAGUGAAAAUUUACUGACAAACAGUAAUACACAACCAAUGGUUUGGGCUGGUGUGAAUCAUAACCGGUCUCUACUUGAUUAGAAACCAAUAGGCAGAGAAGUUGCCAUAAUAAAAAAAUUAGAGAGACCCUAAUUGUUAGAACUAAGAAUGUUUCUUACCAUCUUAUUAGUUACAUUCCAUCAAAGCUAAUAUGUGAAUAACCCUAUCAAUCUUCAAAUCGUUGGUCAGAAAGGAAAGGAGGAAAAUAGAUCAAACAAGUGAUUAACUGUUAGUAGAUUAUCCAGUGUUCAAGUUUUUUCAACUGUAUUGUUUCCUACAAUGAUUAAUAUAUGAUGAUCAGUAUCUGGAUUUGAGAAAAUAAACUAGUGAUCAAUUUGAAUUUGAGAUGGAACUUUUAGCAUUAAUGAGUGUUUAUGGGCCCUUUAUAUAGUUUGGUUGUACUCUGUUGGCAGAGAGUUUUACACUCUAUAGUGUAAUGUACAACUUUUAGUAUCUGUUGGAAGUGUUUAAGCUCUUUUGGUGUACAACUUCUAUUAUUAUCUGAGAACGUUUGAAGUUUUUAUAGUUUUUUUAUGCGAAUUUGAUUACAACUUUUAGAUUUUUAAGUGGUUUGGUGUAUAGCUUUUAGUAUGUGUUGGGAACUUUUAGGCUCUUUAUAUAUACGGUUUGACAUAAACUUUUAGUAUGCACUAAGAGUUUUAUACUCUUAAAUAGUUCGUGUACAACUUUUAGUUCAUCGUAAGAGUUUUCAGAGUUUGAUGUAUAACUUACCGGAGAGUGAUUGACCUCUGUAAUUGACCUCU